RNAcentral lists this ribosomal RNA (400 nucleotides) under uncultured bacterium. RNAcentral's name for it is "bacterial SSU rRNA". It matches the Rfam family "Bacterial small subunit ribosomal RNA", at positions 355 to 746 of the family's 1533-position model. The record is from RNAcentral.
UGGGGAAUAUUGCGCAAUGGGGGAAACCCUGACGCAGCGACGUCGUGUGAGGGAAGAAGGCUUUCGGGUCGUAAACCUCUGUCGGAAGGGAAGAAACGUCGGGGCUUUAACAUGGCCUCGGCCUGACGGUACCUUCAAAGGAAGCGCCGGCUAACUCCGUGCCAGCAGCCGCGGUAAUACGGAGGGCGCAAGCGUUAAUCGGAAUCACUGGGCGUAAAGCGUGCGUAGGCUGUUUGAUAAGUCAGGCGUGAAAUCCCUCGGCUCAACCGGGGAACUGCGCUUGAUACUGUCGAACUCGAGUCCUGGAGAGGGUGGCGGAAUUCCUGGUGUAGGAGUGAAAUCCGUAGAUAUCAGGAGGAACACCGGUGGCGAAGGCGGCCACCUGGACAGGUACUGACGC